Molecule: long non-coding RNA, 175 nt
Organism: Malaclemys terrapin pileata
Lineage: Eukaryota; Metazoa; Chordata; Testudines; Emydidae
Exons: 3
Source: RefSeq, a predicted model, not a curated record
GGCAGAGUACCUUGCAUCUGCUCCCUGCCUCCCUUUCUUCCACCCUUUACUUGGCUACUUGUCACUGUGUUGUUGCAGCCAUGUUGGGCCCAGGAUAUGAGACAGACAAGGAAGUGUCACAGAAGACACACAGAAGAUGGGUAUCUGCCCUAAAGAACUCAGUAUCUAAGUACAC